GUCUUCAAAACACCUUCGCGGAAUCGCACUCUCGAGGAAACGGGAACGCGCUUUUCUCUCACGCAUUUCGCGCAAAAUCGCGAAAGUUCAGUUUUCCGCCCAUUGUGCGCACUAAUCUGCGCACACGGAGAGACGAUGACGACGACGCGGUUGCAUCGGUCCGUCGCACACAGCCAACCGCGGCCCUGAAGAGUCUCGUUUGGCGCGAACUGCUUACGUCAUCGCAUCGCCGCACGCAACAUUUUUAUCGCCUCGGAAAACCAUUCGCGCGCGCUCGCCCUAUCCGGCUCGCGCGUUCUCCACCGCUUUUCCCCGGGCUUGCUCAUUAGUUUUUCCCGGUGUGCAACAUAUCGCGUCACGUCCCGUCGUCAUUCGUCCGCUUCCGCUCGGCGUAUUUUCAAACGGCGGGGCUCGUAGAUUUUCCAGGAUUUCGUAACGUCGCGAUAUAUAGCUGCGCGACAGCGGCAUGACGCAAUCCACGAGAGAGAGAGAGAGCCGCGUCUCAGAGCCACCGUGCGUGAGAGAUAUGCUUUCUCUCUCUCUCGCGCGCGUGUGCGGGCGGUGCGUGUUAAAAAGUCGUUCGUGCUCACGCACGCACAGCAGGCACAUAGUACCAGCACAGCCGUAGUAAUCGUCGUCGUCGGGAGGCUCUAUCGUCGUGCGGCUCGCAAUAACGCCGUGACCACACGCUUCAAACACGUGUGGGUAUAUAAAUAAGCUUUAUGACGUCACCCCCGCGAGAAGCAGCGCGCGAUUCUGGUCCCUUCCCUCGGCCCCGCUCUCACUCUCGUUCAUCUUCUCUUCCCCGAUCUCCGAUAUCUCUCUCGUUCUCUUUGAGCUUCUCUUCGUCUCUCCUUCUCUAUCUCUCUUUCUUGCUUUCGAAGCGGUCGCGUCGCUCAAUUGCGUUUCCGCUUCGAAUUAUUCUUUUUUCUGCCCGGAAGCGCAACAGAGGGCACCGCGGGGUUCAAGCGCGCGCACGCGAGAUUCAAUGAAACGUAAGAACGGGAACAUCGGAUGGCAAAUAUAGGAGGUGUUAAUCUGCGCUGAAUGUGCGCGUAGGAGGGAAGUAAAAAAUCAGCCGGGGGUCGCGCGGAUUCUUCGGGAGAAUUCUCGGAAUAUUCUAUUCGUCCCGGUUUAUUUCCCGUGCACUGAAACCUAUGGAGAGACUGUUAAGGCUGGCGGCACGCGCGAAAACGUAAGCAACGAGACAGUCAGUCGAUUAUUCUUCGAUCGUGAGGCGAACGAUCGUCUGUGAUUGCUCUAUUUUCCUGCUCCUUACCUUUCUGGCACGUGAAGAAACAAAACCUUUUAUUGUGUAGGCAUACACAGUAAACAGUUUCGCAGUAACGUACAAACGGUCCAGCCAAAUUUUGGUGCCACUUUAAUAAGGGAUACGAAACGAGCCCAGGUGACUGGAUUCCCGGGUUAAUUUCAUCUUUUUAUCAAACGUCGAUCGACUUGCUCUUGAGCUAAAAAUAAGUUUACGGGACACCGAGUACGAGGUUGGAUUAAUAAGAGAGAGGGACGAGAGGGCGGCGAAACGCGGCGACGACGUCGUUGUUGUUUAGAGCGU
Dinoponera quadriceps is the source of this 1573-nucleotide long non-coding RNA. RefSeq lists it as uncharacterized. NCBI's taxonomy places the organism in Eukaryota, Metazoa, Arthropoda, Insecta, Hymenoptera, Formicidae. The transcript has 3 exons. The record is from RefSeq and is a predicted model, not a curated record.